GGGUUGUGAGGUUAAGCGACUAAGCGUACACGGUGGAUGCCCUGGCAGUCAGAGGCGAUGAAGGACGUGCUAAUCUGCGAUAAGCGUCGGUAAGGUGAUAUGAACCGUUAUAACCGGCGAUUUCCGAAUGGGGAAACCCAGUGUGAUUCGUCACACUAUCAUUAACUGAAUCCAUAGGUUAAUGAGGCGAACCGGGGGAACUGAAACAUCUAAGUACCCCGAGGAAAAGAAAUCAACCGAGAUUCCCCCAGUAGCGGCGAGCGAACGGGGAGCAGCCCAGAGCCUGAAUCAGUGUGUGUGUUAGUGGAAGCGUCUGGAAAGGCGCGCGAUACAGGGUGACAGCCCCGUACACAAAAAUGCACAUGCUGUGAGCUCGAUGAGUAGGGCGGGACACGUGGUAUCCUGUCUGAAUAUGGGGGGACCAUCCUCCAAGGCUAAAUACUCCUGACUGACCGAUAGUGAACCAGUACCGUGAGGGAAAGGCGAAAAGAACCCCGGCGAGGGGAGUGAAAAAGAACCUGAAACCGUGUACGUACAAGCAGUGGGAGCACAGAGCAAUCUGUGUGACUGCGUACCUUUUGUAUAAUGGGUCAGCGACUUAUAUUCUGUAGCAAGGUUAACCGAAUAGGGGAGCCGAAGGGAAACCGAGUCUUAACUGGGCGUUAAGUUGCAGGGUAUAGACCCGAAACCCGGUGAUCUAGCCAUGGGCAGGUUGAAGGUUGGGUAACACUAACUGGAGGACCGAACCGACUAAUGUUGAAAAAUUAGCGGAUGACUUGUGGCUGGGGGUGAAAGGCCAAUCAAACCGGGAGAUAGCUGGUUCUCCCCGAAAGCUAUUUAGGUAGCGCCUCGUGAAUUCAUCUCCGGGGGUAGAGCACUGUUUCGGCAAGGGGGUCAUCCCGACUUACCAACCCGAUGCAAACUGCGAAUACCGGAGAAUGUUAUCACGGGAGACACACGGCGGGUGCUAACGUCCGUCGUGAAGAGGGAAACAACCCAGACCGCCAGCUAAGGUCCCAAAGUCAUGGUUAAGUGGGAAACGAUGUGGGAAGGCCCAGACAGCCAGGAUGUUGGCUUAGAAGCAGCCAUCAUUUAAAGAAAGCGUAAUAGCUCACUGGUCGAGUCGGCCUGCGCGGAAGAUGUAACGGGGCUAAACCAUGCACCGAAGCUGCGGCAGCGACACUAUGUGUUGUUGGGUAGGGGAGCGUUCUGUAAGCCUGUGAAGGUGUACUGUGAGGUAUGCUGGAGGUAUCAGAAGUGCGAAUGCUGACAUAAGUAACGAUAAAGCGGGUGAAAAGCCCGCUCGCCGGAAGACCAAGGGUUCCUGUCCAACGUUAAUCGGGGCAGGGUGAGUCGACCCCUAAGGCGAGGCCGAAAGGCGUAGUCGAUGGGAAACAGGUUAAUAUUCCUGUACUUGGUGUUACUGCGAAGGGGGGACGGAGAAGGCUAUGUUGGCCGGGCGACGGUUGUCCCGGUUUAAGCGUGUAGGCUGGUUUUCCAGGCAAAUCCGGAAAAUCAAGGCUGAGGCGUGAUGACGAGGCACUACGGUGCUGAAGCAACAAAUGCCCUGCUUCCAGGAAAAGCCUCUAAGCAUCAGGUAACAUCAAAUCGUACCCCAAACCGACACAGGUGGUCAGGUAGAGAAUACCAAGGCGCUUGAGAGAACUCGGGUGAAGGAACUAGGCAAAAUGGUGCCGUAACUUCGGGAGAAGGCACGCUGAUAUGUAGGUGAAGUCCCUCGCGGAUGGAGCUGAAAUCAGUCGAAGAUACCAGCUGGCUGCAACUGUUUAUUAAAAACACAGCACUGUGCAAACACGAAAGUGGACGUAUACGGUGUGACGCCUGCCCGGUGCCGGAAGGUUAAUUGAUGGGGUUAGCGCAAGCGAAGCUCUUGAUCGAAGCCCCGGUAAACGGCGGCCGUAACUAUAACGGUCCUAAGGUAGCGAAAUUCCUUGUCGGGUAAGUUCCGACCUGCACGAAUGGCGUAAUGAUGGCCAGGCUGUCUCCACCCGAGACUCAGUGAAAUUGAACUCGCUGUGAAGAUGCAGUGUACCCGCGGCAAGACGGAAAGACCCCGUGAACCUUUACUAUAGCUUGACACUGAACAUUGAGCCUUGAUGUGUAGGAUAGGUGGGAGGCUUUGAAGUGUGGACGCCAGUCUGCAUGGAGCCGACCUUGAAAUACCACCCUUUAAUGUUUGAUGUUCUAACGUUGACCCGUGAUCCGGGUUGCGGACAGUGUCUGGUGGGUAGUUUGACUGGGGCGGUCUCCUCCUAAAGAGUAACGGAGGAGCACGAAGGUUGGCUAAUCCUGGUCGGACAUCAGGAGGUUAGUGCAAUGGCAUAAGCCAGCUUGACUGCGAGCGUGACGGCGCGAGCAGGUGCGAAAGCAGGUCAUAGUGAUCCGGUGGUUCUGAAUGGAAGGGCCAUCGCUCAACGGAUAAAAGGUACUCCGGGGAUAACAGGCUGAUACCGCCCAAGAGUUCAUAUCGACGGCGGUGUUUGGCACCUCGAUGUCGGCUCAUCACAUCCUGGGGCUGAAGUAGGUCCCAAGGGUAUGGCUGUUCGCCAUUUAAAGUGGUACGCGAGCUGGGUUUAGAACGUCGUGAGACAGUUCGGUCCCUAUCUGCCGUGGGCGCUGGAGAACUGAGGGGGGCUGCUCCUAGUACGAGAGGACCGGAGUGGACGCAUCACUGGUGUUCGGGUUGUCAUGCCAAUGGCACUGCCCGGUAGCUAAAUGCGGAAGAGAUAAGUGCUGAAAGCAUCUAAGCACGAAACUUGCCCCGAGAUGAGUUCUCCCUGACUCCUUGAGAGUCCUGAAGGAACGUUGAAGACGACGACGUUGAUAGGCCGGGUGUGUAAGCGCAGCGAUGCGUUGAGCUAACCGGUACUAAUGAACCGUGAGGCUUAACCUUACAACGCCGAAGGUGUUU
This 2932-nucleotide ribosomal RNA is filed under the name Escherichia coli. RNAcentral describes it as "23S ribosomal RNA". It matches the Rfam family "Bacterial large subunit ribosomal RNA". Lineage: Bacteria; Pseudomonadati; Pseudomonadota; Gammaproteobacteria; Enterobacterales; Enterobacteriaceae. The record is from RNAcentral.